RNAcentral lists this long non-coding RNA (256 nucleotides) under Hordeum vulgare. RNAcentral's name for it is "long non-coding RNA (HVUL_LNC013069)". Lineage: Eukaryota; Viridiplantae; Streptophyta; Magnoliopsida; Poales; Poaceae. The record is from RNAcentral.
UGAGGUCCUUGUUGUUGCUUCGAUUGCACAGAAAGUCCAAUCUGAUGCUAGUAAAAAUGUAAACUUCCCUUGCUUCCUUAUUUUAGAAUCUUUACUCGAUGUUUUUCCCAGAUGCUAAUAGAACUUGCUUCCAAUGCAGAUAAAUUUCAGAUGAUUCGACGUAACAUUUUUCUUUGUUUCUGAUACAAUAAAAACGCGUUAAUAGUUUACUUUAUUUCCAACGCAAUAAAUAAACGUGUCUCGUGGCAACGUAAUU